GACGAACGCUGGCGGCGUGCUUAACACAUGCAAGUCGAACGGAAAGGCCCUGCUUUUGUGGGGUGCUCGAGUGGCGAACGGGUGAGUAACACGUGAGUAACCUGCCCUUGACUUUGGGAUAACUUCAGGAAACUGGGGCUAAUACCGGAUAGGAGCUCCUGCUGCAUGGUGGGGGUUGGAAAGUUUCGGCGGUUGGGGAUGGACUCGCGGCUUAUCAGCUUGUUGGUGGGGUAGUGGCUUACCAAGGCUUUGACGGGUAGCCGGCCUGAGAGGGUGACCGGCCAAAUUGGGACUGAGAUACGGCCCAGGCUCCUACGGGAGGCAGGAGUGGGGAAUAUUGCACAAUGGGCGGAAGCCUGAUGCAGCAACGCCGCGUGCGGGAUGACGGCCUUCGGGUUGUAAACCGCUUUCGCCUGGGACGAAGCGUGAGUGACGGUAAUGGGUAAAGAAGCACCGGCUAACUACGUG
This 468-nucleotide ribosomal RNA is filed under the name uncultured bacterium. RNAcentral's name for it is "partial 16S ribosomal RNA". It matches the Rfam family "Bacterial small subunit ribosomal RNA", at positions 28 to 507 of the family's 1533-position model. The record is from RNAcentral.